RNAcentral lists this unclassified non-coding RNA (358 nucleotides) under Hevea brasiliensis (rubber tree). The record is from RNAcentral. Lineage: Eukaryota; Viridiplantae; Streptophyta; Magnoliopsida; Malpighiales; Euphorbiaceae.
AAAAAAAAAGGGUUAUGUAUACUUGUACUUGAACUUGUGAAGUAAUCCCACUCCAAGAAUCAGAAAUCAUGUUUUACACAAAGUUCACCUCUGAUUGCUUUCAGUGAAUAUAGAUAAAAAUAUAAUGCUGAUUCUCCUAAACUCAACAACAUAAAUACACUCUGGUUUGCACUGUAAUAGAAUAUGAAAUUUUGAAGUGUAUAUGUUUUCAAAGUAGAGAAGGCAAAAUGAUGGAAAUGUUUGAGAUCUUAACAUGUUAGUAUUGAAUUUCAUUCUUUAUCUGUAUAUGCAUCCACAAUAUGGAUUAAAACUCUAUGAUACAAAAUUUUUUGGCCAGCUCAUGGAAGCAAUGCCACUA